GACGAACGCUGGCGGCGUGCUUAACACAUGCAAGUCGAACGGAAAGGCCCUGCUUUUGUGGGGUGCUCGAGUGGCGAACGGGUGAGUAACACGUGAGUAACCUGCCCUUGACUUUGGGAUAACUUCAGGAAACUGGGGCUAAUACCGGAUAGGAGCUCCUGCUGCAUGGUGGGGGUUGGAAAGUGUCGGCGGUUGGGGAUGGACUCGCGGCUUAUCAGCUUGUUGGUGGGGUAGUGGCUUACCAAGGCUUUGACGGGUAGCCGGCCUGAGAGGGUGACCGGCCACAUUGGGACUGAGAUACGGACCAGACUCCUACGGGAGGCAGCAGUGGGGAAUAUUGCACAAUGGGCGGAAGCCUGAUGCAGCAACGCCGCGUGCGGGAUGACGGCCUUCGGGUUGUAAACCGCUUUCGCCUGUGACGAAGCGUGAGUGACGGUAAUGGGUAAAGAAGCACCGGCUAACUACGUG
This 468-nucleotide ribosomal RNA is filed under the name uncultured bacterium. Its description in RNAcentral is "partial 16S ribosomal RNA". It matches the Rfam family "Bacterial small subunit ribosomal RNA", at positions 28 to 507 of the family's 1533-position model. The record is from RNAcentral.